This 253-nucleotide ribosomal RNA is filed under the name uncultured bacterium. Its description in RNAcentral is "partial 16S ribosomal RNA". It matches the Rfam family "Bacterial small subunit ribosomal RNA", at positions 524 to 776 of the family's 1533-position model. The record is from RNAcentral.
UACGUAGGGACCAAGCGUUGUUCGGAUUUACUGGGCGUAAAGGGCGCGUAGGCGGCUUAACAAGUCACUUGUGAAAUCUCCGGGCUUAACUCGGAACGGCCAAGUGAAACUGUCAAGCUAGAGUGCAGAAGGGGCAAUCGGAAUUCUUGGUGUAGCGGUGAAAUGCGCAGAUAUCAGGAGGAACACCGAUUGCGAAGGCAGCUCGCUGGAACGUUACUGACGCUGAGACGCGAAAGCGUGGGGAGCAAACAGG